ACCAAUGAGAAUUUCGCGUCACGAUUUGAGACGCAGAUAUUCGAAUUCAUUAGUCAUCGAUGCAGGCUCUCAAUUCAGCUUGAGAGCCUGUUCGCAGGCUAACUCAAAAACAGAGAUGAUGGACAAGUCAAUUACGUAUAAAAGCUCCUAUCUAUAUGGAACGAAACUAGGGAACUUGAACCUUUUAGCUCAUUUAAGAAAUCUUUAAAUAACGGAUUACUUAGAGACAACUAACUGUAUGACCGAUUCUUACGUACAUGUUCUUAUUUGCCUAUAAAUAUUGCAUGUACAACAUUAAUAAGUGAUAGUAUAAUUAGGAUAACAUGUAAUAAUAUAUUCAACUAUAAUUUCAAUUUAUAGUUUGUUAUAAAAUUUUGACUACUAAUCUUUCACAAUCCCAUCAUCUGGUGCUGUGAUCACCAAAUCGUUAAUAAAUAAAUGCUUUACUAGUACCAUUACUACCAUCACUACCAUUACUAAUACCACCAGCACCCGCCCUUAUCACCCCACC
Molecule: non-coding RNA, 511 nt
Organism: Paramuricea clavata
Lineage: Eukaryota; Metazoa; Cnidaria; Anthozoa; Malacalcyonacea; Plexauridae
Source: the annotation of a GenBank genome assembly